AGAGCGAACGCUGGCGGCAGGCCUAACACAUGCAAGUCGAACGGACUCUUCGGAGUUAGUGGCGGACGGGUGAGUAACACGUGGGAACGUGCCUUUUGGUUCGGAAUAGCUCCUGGAAACGGGUGGUAAUGCCGAAUGUGCCCUUCGGGGGAAAGAUUUAUCGCCAUUAGAGCGGCCCGCGUCUGAUUAGCUAGUUGGUGAGGUAAAGGCUCACCAAGGCGACGAUCAGUAGCUGGUCUGAGAGGAUGACCAGCCACAUUGGGACUGAGACACGGCCCAAACUCCUACGGGAGGCAGCAGUGGGGAAUCUUGCGCAAGUGGGCGAAAGCCUGACGCAGCCAUGCCGCGUGAAUGAUGAAGGUCUUAGGAUUAGUAAAAUUCUUUACACGGGACGAUAAUGACGUACCGAGAAGAAGCCCCGGAUAACUCAGUCGACGACGACGACGCCGUAACGUACUCGUAGGCGG
Molecule: ribosomal RNA, 467 nt
Filed under: uncultured soil bacterium
Lineage: Bacteria
Description: bacterial SSU rRNA
Rfam family: Bacterial small subunit ribosomal RNA
Source: RNAcentral